Molecule: ribosomal RNA, 444 nt
Filed under: Triticum aestivum (bread wheat)
Lineage: Eukaryota; Viridiplantae; Streptophyta; Magnoliopsida; Poales; Poaceae
Description: partial small subunit ribosomal RNA
Source: RNAcentral
AUGCAAAUGCUUGCAUCCCAUGCUUAUUAUAUGUACAUACACAGGUAUGCAGCAGCCUUGCAACUGAAUGAAAAGAGCGACGUAUAUAGCUUCGGUGUCGUGUUACUAGAGGUAAUCACAGGACAACCCACCAUCCUUGAAUCUACGGAGGUCAUCCAUAUCGUCCAAUGGGCACGACUUCACCUUUCGGGAGGCAACAUUGAGGAGGUGGUGGACGGCCGAAUGCAAGGCGACUUCAAUGUGAAUGGCAUGUGGAAGGCCGUGGACCUAGCGCUGAAGUGCACCGAGCAUGACCCCGCACAACGACCCACAAUGACGGAUGUGGCUGCCCAGUUGCAAUACUGCCUCGAGUUGGAGAACGAAGAUCAAAACAGAGGCGAUGCUAACAAUAACUUCCACAUAAUGAAAGAUAGCAGUCGUGACCGUGAUCUACCGAUGAUGUAA